This 474-nucleotide ribosomal RNA is filed under the name uncultured bacterium. RNAcentral describes it as "bacterial SSU rRNA". It matches the Rfam family "Bacterial small subunit ribosomal RNA", at positions 17 to 518 of the family's 1533-position model. The record is from RNAcentral.
UCUUGGUUCAGGAUGAACGCUGGCGGCGUGCCUAACACAUGCAAGUCGAGCGAUUACUUCGGUAAAGAGCGGCGGACGGGUGAGUAACGCGUGGGUAACCUGCCUCAUACACAUGGAUAACAUACCGAAAGGUAUGCUAAUACAGGAUAAUAUAAGAGAUUCACAUGGAUUUCUUAUCAAAGCUCCGGCGGUAUGAGAUGGACCCGCGUCUGAUUAGCUAGUUGGUAAGGUAAUGGCUUACCAAGGCGACGAUCAGUAGCCGACCUGAGAGGGUGAUCGGCCACAUUGGAACUGAGACACGGUCCAAACUUCUACGGGAGGCAGCAGUGGGGAAUAUUGCACAAUGGGCGAAAGCCCGAUGCCAGCAACGCCGCGUGAGUGAUGAAGGCCUUCGGGUCGUAAAACUCUGUCCUCAAGGAAGAUAAUGACGGUACUUGAGGAGGAAGCCCCGGCUAACUACGUGCCAGCAGCGGC